GAUGCUUCUCUGCUAUCAGUUAUGGACCUCCAGCAUCUGAUUGCUCUGAAGAUUGGAUUCAGUAGAUGGGAUUGGGAAGCCUUACUCCACAAGGGUUUACCUGCGUCCAACCCUAAACACCCCCACCCUUGCUGCACAUGGCCCAUUAUAUCCCUAUGCCUCAAUGCUGAUUGAGCUUGUUUAACUGCCUGUUUUGGGUUCCACUUCCUCCCUGCAUUAACUGUGGGUGCAACCCUCACCACUGGAUCCUUGGACUGAAUUUCAAUCAAGGAGAACCAAAGGCUCAACUGAAACCUUUUCCAACGUUCAUCAGUGGCCUGGUGUGUCUGAUCCUUGUCCUGGGG
This is a long non-coding RNA of Alosa alosa (allis shad), 344 nucleotides long. RefSeq lists it as uncharacterized. Lineage: Eukaryota; Metazoa; Chordata; Actinopteri; Clupeiformes; Clupeidae. The transcript has 3 exons. The record is from RefSeq and is a predicted model, not a curated record.